RNAcentral lists this transfer RNA (65 nucleotides) under Facelina bostoniensis. RNAcentral's name for it is "tRNA-Asp". The record is from RNAcentral. Lineage: Eukaryota; Metazoa; Mollusca; Gastropoda; Nudibranchia; Facelinidae.
AUUAAUCUAGUUUAAACAAAACAAGAGCUUGUCGAGCUCUAAAUACAACUGAAUUGUGGUUAAUG